CGGCGGAACACGUGAAAUUCCGUCGGAAUCCGGGAGGACCAUCUCCCAAGGCUAAAUACUCCCUAGUGACCGAUAGUGAACCAGUACCGUGAGGGAAAGGUGAAAAGCACCCCGGAAGGGGAGUGAAACAGUUCCUGAAACCGUGUGCCUACAAGUAGUUAGAGCCCGUUAAUGGGUGAUAGCGUGCCUUUUGUAGAAUGAACCGGCGAGUUACGAUUUGUUGCAAGGUUAAGCGGAAAAAGCGGAGCCGUAGCGAAAGCGAGUCUGAAUAGGGCGCAUAAGUAACAGGUCGUAGACCCGAAACCAGGUGAUCUACCCAUGUCCAGGAUGAAGGUAAGGUAAUACUUACUGGAGGUCCGAACCCACGCACGUUGAAAAGUGCGGGGAUGAGGUGUGGGUAGCGGAGAAAUUCCAAUCGAACUUGGAGAUAGCUGGUUCUCUCCGAAAUAGCUUUAGGGCUAGCCUCGAGGUAAAGAGUCAUGGAGGUAGAGCACUGUUUGGACUAGGGGCCCUUCUCGGGUUACCGAAUUCAGAUAAACUCCGAAUGCCAUGUACUUAUACUCGGGAGUCAGACUGCGAGUGAUAAGAUCCGUAGUCGAAAGGGAAACAGCCCAGACCACCAGUUAAGGUCCCCAAAUAUAUGUUAAGUGGAAAAGGAUGUGGGGUUGCUUAGACAACCAGGAUGUUGGCUUAGAAGCAGCCACCAUUGAAAGAGUGCGUAAUAGCUCACUGGUCGAGUGACCCCGCGCCGAAAAUGUACCGGGGCUAAACAUAUUACCGAAACUGUGGAUGAACCUCUUUAGAGGUUCGUGGUAGGAGAGCGUUCUAAGGGCGGUGAAGUCAGACCGGAAGGACUGGUGGAGCGCUUAGAAGUGAGAAUGCCGGUAUGAGUAGCGAAAGAAGGGUGAGAAUCCCUUCCACCGAAUAUCUAAGGUUUCCUGAGGAAGGCUCGUCCGCUCAGGGUUAGUCGGGACCUAAGCCGAGGCCGAUAGGCGUAGGCGAUGGACAACAGGUAGAGAUUCCUGUACCAGUGCUAAUUGUUUAACCGAUGGGGUGACACAGAAGGAUAGGGAAUCGCACGAAUGGAAAUGUGCGUCCAAGCAGUGAGUGUGAGAAGUAGGCAAAUCCGCUUCUCGCGAAGCAUGAGCUGUGAUGGGGAAGGAAAUUAAGUACGGAAGUUCCUGAUUUCACGCUGUCAAGAAAAGCCUCUAGGAAGAGUAGUACUGCCCGUACCGCAAACCGACACAGGUAGAUGAGGAGAGAAUCCUAAGGUGAGCGAGAGAACUCUCGUUAAGGAACUCGGCAAAAUGACCCCGUAACUUCGGGAGAAGGGGUGCUCUAUUAGGGUGCAAGCCCGAGAGAGCCGCAGUGAAUAGGCCCAGGCGACUGUUUAGCAAAAACACAGGUCUCUGCAAAACCGUAAGGUGACGUAUAGGGGCUGACGCCUGCCCGGUGCUGGAAGGUUAAGAGGAGUGCUUAGCUUCGGCGAAGGUACGAAUUGAAGCCCCAGUAAACGGCGGCCGUAACUAUAACGGUCCUAAGGUAGCGAAAUUCCUUGUCGGGUAAGUUCCGACCCGCACGAAAGGCGCAACGAUCUGGGCACUGUCUCAACGAGAGACUCGGUGAAAUUAUAGUACCUGUGAAGAUGCAGGUUACCCGCGACAGGACGGAAAGACCCCGUGGAGCUUUACUGCAACCUGAUAUGGAAUGUUUGUACCGCUUGUACAGGAUAGGUAGGAGCCGAAGAGACGUGUGCGCUAGCAUACGAGGAGGCAAUGGUGGGAUACUACCCUGGCUGUAUGACCAUUCUA
RNAcentral lists this ribosomal RNA (1811 nucleotides) under Listeria monocytogenes. RNAcentral's name for it is "partial 23S ribosomal RNA". It matches the Rfam family "Bacterial large subunit ribosomal RNA", at positions 415 to 2224 of the family's 2925-position model. Lineage: Bacteria; Bacillati; Bacillota; Bacilli; Caryophanales; Listeriaceae. The record is from RNAcentral.